AAAUUGAAGAGUUUGAUCAUGGCUCAGAUUGAAUGCUGGCGGCAGGCCUAACACAUGCAAGUCGAACGGUAACAGGAAACAGCUUGCUGUUUCGCUGACGAGUGGCGGACGGGUGAGUAAUGUCUGGGAAACUGCCUGAUGGAGGGGGAUAACUACUGGAAACGGUAGCUAAUACCGCAUAACGUCGCAAGACCAAAGAGGGGGACCUUCGGGCCUCUUGCCAUCGGAUGUGCCCAGAUGGGAUUAGCUAGUAGGUGGGGUAACGGCUCACCUAGGCGACGAUCCCUAGCUGGUCUGAGAGGAUGACCAGCCACACUGGAACUGAGACACGGUCCAGACUCCUACGGGAGGCAGCAGUGGGGAAUAUUGCAC
This 372-nucleotide ribosomal RNA is filed under the name Escherichia coli. Its description in RNAcentral is "bacterial SSU rRNA". It matches the Rfam family "Bacterial small subunit ribosomal RNA", at positions 1 to 369 of the family's 1533-position model. The record is from RNAcentral. Lineage: Bacteria; Pseudomonadati; Pseudomonadota; Gammaproteobacteria; Enterobacterales; Enterobacteriaceae.